Salvia splendens (bonfire salvia) is the source of this 892-nucleotide long non-coding RNA. RefSeq lists it as uncharacterized. The transcript has 2 exons. The record is from RefSeq and is a predicted model, not a curated record. Lineage: Eukaryota; Viridiplantae; Streptophyta; Magnoliopsida; Lamiales; Lamiaceae.
CAUAGAUUCAAAAAUACCUCGUCUUCAACAUUUUCACACAAAAUGUCUUCUCGUCAAAAAAACUAUGCAAAUGACGAAGACAUCCUUUUUAUGUCAAGUUUAUAUGCAAAUUUUACAAGACCCAAUUAUAGGGACUUAUGAAUCAUCAAAUCUAUUAUGGAAGCGUGUGGAAGAUGCAUUCGUCAAAGAUAAAGACCCGACUUGGCCACGACGUACGCAAAGAUCUAUGCAGGCUCGUAUUCAAACCAUCUAGAAAGCAACAAAGAAAUUCUGUUAAUGUAUUCAAGCAGCUGAAGCAAGAAAUCAAAGUGGAGCUUCACACGUAGACGCACCCUUGAUGGUUCCUCGUCAUCAAAGCCCAAAAGAGUAAAGAAAGCAAAACUGAAGACAAAAAUAUUCAAAGAUACGACAUCUCUCAUCAUGGCUCUAGAAAAACAAAAUGAGUUUCUAAGGGAUGGCAUCUAAAAAGCAAACUCGCAAAUGACUCUGUUCUUGGAAAAUCAAAAGGCGAGCAUAUUAUCUAUGAAUUUGAGCUCCAUAAACGAUCCCCUAAGUCGUGCAUUUUUUCAAGCUCAAAAAGAACGCAUUUUACGGAAAAAAGCUCAGCAAGAAGAUCAACCAAAUGAUUAUGCAGUUAGAACAUAUUCUUCGGACUUUAAUGAUAUUGGAGGAUCUGGUUCAGAUUUGCCGGAUUAUUAGAUUAGGUUUUUAUUUAGUUAUCGUCAUUUUAUUUUUAGUACUCCUAUUUGAAAUGUGUUUUUUAAUUUGUAGGUUUAGGUAUUAUGCUCUGUGUUUUUUUAAAAUUAUUAAUGUUAUUUUAAUUAUUUUUUUGUUAAGUAUAUGUAAUUUUAUUUAAGUGAGGUUAAUUAAAUUCAUUAGCUCAUUAACUGAA